Molecule: microRNA precursor, 58 nt
Filed under: Callorhinchus milii (elephant shark)
Lineage: Eukaryota; Metazoa; Chordata; Chondrichthyes; Chimaeriformes; Callorhinchidae
Description: Cmi-Mir-2184-v1_pre stem-loop
Source: RNAcentral
AACAGUAAGAGUUUAUGUGCUGUGGACAGUGGGUCAGCACAUAAACUCCUACAGUUCA